RNAcentral lists this ribosomal RNA (253 nucleotides) under uncultured bacterium. RNAcentral's name for it is "partial 16S ribosomal RNA". It matches the Rfam family "Bacterial small subunit ribosomal RNA", at positions 524 to 776 of the family's 1533-position model. The record is from RNAcentral.
UACGGGGGGGGCAAGCGUUGUUCGGAAUUACUGGGCGUAAAGGGCUCGUAGGCGGCCAACUAAGUCGGAUGUGAAAUCCCCAGGCUUAACCUGGGAACUGCAUCCGAUACUGGAUGGCUUGAAUCCGGGAGAGGGAUGCGGAAUUCCAGGUGUAGCGGUGAAAUGCGUAGAUAUCUGGAGGAAUACCGGUGGCGAAGGCGGCAUCCUGGACCGGCAUUGACGCUGAAGCGCGAAAGCUAGGGGAGCAAACAGG